Molecule: ribosomal RNA, 920 nt
Filed under: human oral metagenome
Description: bacterial SSU rRNA
Rfam family: Bacterial small subunit ribosomal RNA
Source: RNAcentral
AGAGUUUGAUCCUGGCUCAGGAUGAACGCUAGCGGCAGGCCUAACACAUGCAAGUCGAGGGAGAAGCCCUUCGGGGCAGAAACCGGCGCACGGGUGCGUAACGCGUAUGCAACCUACCUUUCACAGGGGGAUAGCCCGAAGAAAUUUGGAUUAAUACCCCAUAAUAUUAUUGGAUGGCAUCAUUUUACAAUUAAAACUACGGUGGUGAAAGAUGGGCAUGCGUCCUAUUAGCUAGUUGGAGUGGUAACGGCACCCCAAGGCUACGAUAGGUAGGGGUCCUGAGAGGGAGAUCCCCCACACUGGUACUGAGACAGGGACCAGACUCCUACGGGAGGCAGCAGUGAGGAAUAUUGGUCAAUGGUCGGAAGACUGAACCAGCCAUGCCGCGUGCAGGAAGAAUGCCUUAUGGGUUGUAAACUGCUUUUAUAUGGGAAGAAUAAGGCGUACGUGUACGUUGAUGACGGUACCAUAUGAAUAAGCAUCGGCUAACUCCGUGCCAGCAGCCGCGGUAAUACGGAGGAUGCGAGCGUUAUUCGGAAUCAUUGGGUUUAAAGGGUCUGUAGGCGGGCUAUUAAGUCAGGGGUGAAAGGUUUCAGCUUAACUGAGAAAUUGCCUUUGAUACUGGUAGUCUUGAAUAUCUGUGAAGUUCUUGGAAUGUGUAGUGUAGCGGUGAAAUGCUUAGAUAUUACACAGAACACCGAUUGCGAAGGCAGGGGACUAACAGACAAUUGACGCUGAGAGACGAAAGCGUGGGGAGCGAACAGGAUUAGAUACCCUGGUAGUCCACGCUGUAAACGAUGGAUACUAGCUGUUUGGCGCAAGCUGAGUGGCUAAGCGAAAGUGAUAAGUAUCCCACCUGGGGAGUACGCACGCAAGUGUGAAACUCAAAGGAAUUGACGGGGGCCCGCACAAGCGGUGGA